RNAcentral lists this ribosomal RNA (253 nucleotides) under uncultured bacterium. RNAcentral describes it as "partial 16S ribosomal RNA". It matches the Rfam family "Bacterial small subunit ribosomal RNA", at positions 524 to 776 of the family's 1533-position model. The record is from RNAcentral.
UACGGAGGGGGUUAGCGUUGUUCGGAAUUACUGGGCGUAAAGCGCGCGUAGGCGGACCAGAAAGUUGGGGGUGAAAUCCCGGGGCUCAACCCCGGAACGGCCUCCAAAACUCCUGGUCUUGAGUUCGAGAGAGGUGAGUGGAAUUCCGAGUGUAGAGGUGAAAUUCGUAGAUAUUCGGAGGAACACCAGUGGCGAAGGCGGCUCACUGGCUCGAUACUGACGCUGAGGUGCGAAAGUGUAGGGAGCAAACAGG